Molecule: ribosomal RNA, 279 nt
Filed under: uncultured bacterium
Lineage: Bacteria
Description: partial 16S ribosomal RNA
Rfam family: Bacterial small subunit ribosomal RNA
Source: RNAcentral
UGCCAUCCGCCGCGGUAAUACGGAGGGUCCAAGCGAUAAUCGGAAUUACUGGGCGUAAAGCGCGCGUAGGCGGAUUGUCAAGUUGGAUGUGAAAUCCCUGGGCUCAACCUAGGAACUGCAUUCAAAACUUAUAGACUAGAGUACGGUAGAGGAGAGUAGAAUUCCUGGUGUAGCGGUGAAAUGCGUAGAUAUCAGGAGGAAUACCAAUGGCGAAGGCAACUCUCUGGAUCGACACUGACGCUGAGGUGCGAAAGCGUGGGUAGCAAACAGGAUUAGAUA